UUAAUAUACCACUAAGGCACUAACCGUUCCUCUCUGAGUUUGCCAUUAUCGAUUACUUGGUGGGUGGUGGGCUCGAUUCUUCUACUGGCUCACUCGAUUGUUGGGCUUCACAACCUGAUUUGGCUACUCGAUCGCUAGGUUAAUUAAUUGAUCUUCUUGUAUCUGUACCGUUGCGGCUUUUCUAUAUCCCAAAAUUUAGGGUUCUCUGCUUUCUCUCUGGGUUCACCGCCGGAAUGUUGUGGUGAUCACGACUUGAUUUUCCCAUACAUUGGCACUAAGCAACGGAUACAGGAUCUCCAUUUGAGUGUUGAUAGCAGCUGGGCAUUAUGGUUUGUUAGAGGACAAGUAGCAGGUUGUAAUUUAUAUAUGUGGAGUUAUUUCUUGUGGCUCCUGAGUCCUGAAUGGAUCUAUGAGAAGUCUACGACUACAGGGGAUCUUCUUUUAUGAAAUAAUAUUGGCAAAAAAUUAUCAAGAAUCAUAACAUCAUCAUCUAAAAAGGAAGAAUGUUAUGGGAAAACAUAUGACAAACCUUCAGCUUUUCCAUUAAAAGUUCCCAAAAAAGUUCUUGCUCAAUCUGUCCUAGCUUUUCUUGGAUUGGGAUUCGUUGAUGCCGGGUCAUUUGACUACAGCAAGUGAUGUGUACAGCUACAGAGUUUUACUUUUGGAGUUAUUAACAGGACGAAGGGCCAUGGACAGGAGUCGGCCUAGUAGAGAGCAGAGUUUAUUGGACUGGACAAAAUCAUCACUUAGAGAACCACGAAAGCUUAGCCGAAUAAUGGACUCAAAACUUGAAAGCUGAAUAGUGUUCUAGAUGGGGCAGUUCAUCUUUGGUGUAUUUCUUUGUGUUUGAUGAUUUUGAUUGGAAAAGAAGUACUAUAAUGUACUGGGCUGUCAUAUAUAUAAAUAGUACAUUUCAAAUCGGCCAUUACAAAACUGUUGUAGUAGCUAUAAAAA
Long non-coding RNA from Daucus carota subsp. sativus, 954 nucleotides. RefSeq lists it as uncharacterized. Lineage: Eukaryota; Viridiplantae; Streptophyta; Magnoliopsida; Apiales; Apiaceae. The record is from RefSeq and is a predicted model, not a curated record. The transcript is spliced from 5 exons.